GGCUCACCAAGCCGACGAUCUGUAGCUGGUCUGAGAGGACGACCAGCCACACUGGGACUGAGACACGGCCCAGACUCCUACGGGAGGCAGCAGUGGGGAAUUUUGGACAAUGGGCGCAAGCCUGAUCCAGCAAUGCCGCGUGCAGGAUGAAGGCCUUCGGGUUGUAAACUGCUUUUGUACGGAACGAAACGGUGAGCUCUAAUACAGUUUGCUAAUGACGGUACCGUAAGAAUAAGCACCGGCUAACUACGUG
Molecule: ribosomal RNA, 253 nt
Filed under: uncultured bacterium
Lineage: Bacteria
Description: partial 16S ribosomal RNA
Rfam family: Bacterial small subunit ribosomal RNA
Source: RNAcentral